GAAUGCAAGCAGAUCAUUACCAUGGACCUUGUUUAUACAAAACAGGCUUAGAUGAGAAGCCACUGAUUAGUUCUUUCCUCAGCUCUGUCUUCAGGCUGACCAUACAGCAGACCCCGAGCUGAUUGCUGCCCUUGUGAUGUUUUCUGUGGAAAGACAUUAGAAAACACUGACUGAUUACUCCUCAAAGUGCUAUCCUUGAUGCAAUUUCUCCUAGCACCAGACAGUGGAUUCCUGCUUUCUAAUGCAUCUCUGCAAACACUUUGGUUUAGUUGUAUCGAAUGCUUUGUUGUUUCAUUUGUAAAAAGAGGGUAAUAACAUAUACUUGCAAUGUUUACUUACCUUUCCAGCAUUCUCUGCAGCUUAAAUCACAGUCAGAGGAAUAACACAGAAGGCAGUUACUUCUGUUUUAAAAAAACUAAGAUGAUGAAAGUAUAAUAUUACCAUCUUUGAGCCAGUGGAAAAAUGAAUGCCUAACAACAUUGUGAAACAGCAUUUGCAAAGUUCUAUUGAGAUGUCUUUGUCCCAACAUGAUUUUACUGUGUAACAGUACUUCUAUCAUAUACCACUUGAAGUUUCCAAAAAUGACAAUGGGAGUGAUAGUGCAAAUGUUUUUUUGGCAAACUCUUGCUUGGGAAAGUGUACCUGUGCCCUGCUUGUUACAGGGAAAGCUUGGAGAAGUAAGAGUGGUGUUGGAGGAAGGACAUGCAGUCAGGCAGGAUUCUUCCAAAGGAUGGCACGUCAUCUAUGUGCAGAUGGGGGCAGGUUUAAAACUUUUGUGUCUUACACAUCUUAUGGUUUCUUGCACAGGGACAUUUACAGAGAUGGUUGUACGUCACCUCCAAGAACAAGUUAUUAGGAUGAUUCAAACUCCAGGCAACAGAAUUAAAUUCUGGUCAAAGAAAUUAUGCAAGAAUCCACCUCAGCUCAGUAUUUCUCAAAUAUAUUGCAUUUUCAAAUUACUGGUAUUUUUUAAGUUCAUCCCACUAGGUUGUAGAUGAGUCAAUUUGGUGUAUCUCUUUCUAGCUUAUGGACUGAGUAUCUUACCCAUUUCUACAUAAAUAGCACAGUAUUCAGCAGUGAAAACUGUUGAGUGUGGACAAGAAACAGAGAUCUCUGAAAAUCUGUCCAUGUAUGUAAAUGCUAAGCAUGGAAUAAUCUGCUUACUUUCAUUUGUCAGACUCUGAAUAACGGUUCAAGAGUUAUACAAAUACAAGGAGAAUGAAAAAAAAGUUAGCCCAUUUUUAAAACAUUUUAUAAUUUGUUUUUACUGACAUCAAGAUGCUGCAGCAUUUUACAACUCUUUAAGCUCAAAGGCAUAACUCACCUGUUCAGCAGAAUUUAGCUGAGCAAUAUUUACAUUUAUCUAUUAAUGAAAGUUUCAGUAGUUUCUUCAGAUAAAUUAUUUGAAGAUAUCUGAU
Molecule: long non-coding RNA, 1418 nt
Organism: Gallus gallus (chicken)
Lineage: Eukaryota; Metazoa; Chordata; Aves; Galliformes; Phasianidae
Source: Ensembl